UGGGGAAUUUUCCGCAAUGGGCGAAAGCCUGACGGAGCAACGCCGCGUGAGGGAGGAAGGCUCUUGGGUUGUAAACCUCUUUUCUCAAGGAAGAUAAUGACGGUACUUGAGGAAUCAGCAUCGGCUAACUCCGUGCCAGCAGCCGCGGUAAUACGGAGGAUGCAAGCGUUAUCCGGAAUUAUUGGGCGUAAAGCGUCCGUAGGCGGCAUGAUAAGUCUGCUGUCAAAGACCGCAGCUCAACUGCGGAGAGGCAGUGGAAACUGUGAAGCUAGAGUCUGGUAGGGGUAGAGGGAAUUCCCAGUGUAGCGGUGAAAUGCGUAGAGAUUGGGAAGAACACCAGUGGCGAAAGCGCUCUGCUGGGCCAGAACUGACGCUGAGGGACGAAAGCUAGGGGAGCGAAAGGGAUUAGAUACCCCCGUAGUCC
RNAcentral lists this ribosomal RNA (424 nucleotides) under uncultured prokaryote. RNAcentral describes it as "bacterial SSU rRNA". It matches the Rfam family "Bacterial small subunit ribosomal RNA", at positions 355 to 796 of the family's 1533-position model. The record is from RNAcentral.